Molecule: ribosomal RNA, 464 nt
Filed under: uncultured bacterium
Lineage: Bacteria
Description: partial 16S ribosomal RNA
Rfam family: Bacterial small subunit ribosomal RNA
Source: RNAcentral
CUACGGGCGGCUCCAGUGAGGAAUUUUGCGCAAUGGGGGAAACCCUGACGCAGCAACGCCGCGUGAGCGAAGAAGGCCCUCGGGUCGUAAAGCUCUGUCAAGUGGGAAAAAAAUUUUUUGAUCAAUAGUCAAAAGACUUGAUGGUACCACUGGAGGAAGCACCGGCUAACUCCGUGCCAGCAGCCGCGGUAAUACGGAGGGUGCGAGCGUUGUUCGGAUUUACUGGGCGUAAAGAGCGUGUAGGCGGUUUAGCAAGUCAGGUGUGAAAGCCCUGGGCUCAACCCGGGAAGUGCAUUUGAAACUGCUUCACUAGAGUAUGGGAGAGGAGAUUGGAAUUCCUGGUGUAGAGGUGAAAUUCGUAGAUAUCAGGAGGAACACCCGUGGCGAAGGCGAUUCUCUGGACCAAUACUGACGCUGAGACGCGAAAGCGUGGGGAGCAAACAGGAUUAGAUACCCUAGUAGUC